RNAcentral lists this ribosomal RNA (402 nucleotides) under uncultured bacterium. RNAcentral describes it as "bacterial SSU rRNA". It matches the Rfam family "Bacterial small subunit ribosomal RNA", at positions 109 to 507 of the family's 1533-position model. The record is from RNAcentral.
AGGAAUACAUGGGAAUCUGCCCAGUCGUGGGGAUAACGUAGGGAAACUUACGCUAAUACCGCAUGCGCCCUUCGGGGGAAAGCCGGGGACCUUCGGGCCUGGCGCGAUUGGAUGAGCCCAUGUCGGAUUAGCUAGUUGGUCGGGUAAAGGCCCACCAAGGCGACGAUCCGUAGCUGGUCUGAGAGGAUGAUCAGCCACACUGGAACUGAGACACGGUCCAGACUCCUACGGGAGGCAGCAGUAGGGAAUAUUGGACAAUGGGCGCAAGCCUGAUCCAGCCAUGCCGCGUGUGUGAAGAAGGCCUUCGGGUUGUAAAGCAACUUUUAUCCGGAAAGAAAAGCGCUGGGUUAAUACCCUGGUGUCCUGACGGUACCGGAAGAAUAAGCACCGGCUAACUUCGUG